RNAcentral lists this ribosomal RNA (521 nucleotides) under Conus frigidus. RNAcentral's name for it is "partial 12S ribosomal RNA". The record is from RNAcentral. Lineage: Eukaryota; Metazoa; Mollusca; Gastropoda; Neogastropoda; Conidae.
ACGGUAAAAGACAGUUAAGCAGGACUACAUAAUCAUUAGAUCUUUAGUAUAGGAGUAAAAUCUAGAUACUAAAAGUUAUACCUGACAUGGUUGUUUAUGGUGCUGAGUCUGUGACAGCUUUAAGGGAAACUGGGAUUGGAUACCCCAUUAUUUUUAGCUGUAAAUAUAGUUUGAGCUUACCGGAGCACUACGAAUAAAAAGUUUAAAACUCAAAGGGCUUGGCGGUGUUUUAGACCUCUCAGGGGAACCUGUCUCAUAAUCGACAAUCCACGUUAGACCUAACCUUCUAUGGUAAUUCAGCCUGUAUACCGUCGUCGUCAGGUAACUUCUAAAAAUACAGUAGUUAGCUUGAGAAUUUUUUAAUUAAUACGUCAGAUCAAGGUGCAGCCAAUGAGAGGGUGAGGAUGGGUUACAGUUACAAAUUUGUAAUUACGGAAGGAGACUUGAAAUUAAGUGUCUUGAAGGAGGACUUGAAAGUAAUUUUAAUUAUAUAAGUGGAAUGAAUAAGGCUCUGAAACGUG